UUUAGAGGAAGUAAAAGUCGUAACAAGGUUUCCGUAGGUGAACCUGCGGAAGGAUCAUUAAUGGAUUUACAGAGGGUUGAUGCUGGCAGUUUAAUCUGCAUGUGCUUGCUCUUCUGAUUUAUUUACACCUGUGCACUUAAUUCUUUCAAAGGGAGGGUAGAACCUGCCUUUGGAACUUAUAAACUCCUUGUAUUGAACCAAUGAAUGUUUAUCUGCCACAAGGCAAAUUUUAAUACAACUUUUAACAACGGAUCUCUUGGCUCUCGCAUCGAUGAAGAACGCAGCGAAAUGCGAUAAGUAAUGUGAAUUGCAGAAUUCAGUGAAUCAUCGAAUCUUUGAACGCACCUUGCGCUCUCUGGUAUUCCGGGGAGCACACCUGUUCGAGUGUCAUUGAAACUCUCAAAUAAAGGUGGCUUUGUUAGCUGUCUCUGUUUGGAUUUGGGCUUUGCUGCAUUAAUGUGGCUAGUCUUAAAUGCAUUAGCUGGUCCUCAUUGAGGUUUGGUUCUACUCGGCGUGAUAAUUAUCUAACGUUGAGGACAGUCUCAGGACUGGCCAUGGCUCUUUCUGGAUUGCUUCUAAAUUGUCUUCAGGACAAUCACUUAAUUUCUGACCUCGGAUCAGGUGGGACUACCCGCUGA
RNAcentral lists this ribosomal RNA (638 nucleotides) under Hydnum vesterholtii. RNAcentral describes it as "eukaryotic LSU rRNA". The stretch from base 237 to 390 matches the Rfam family "5.8S ribosomal RNA". Lineage: Eukaryota; Fungi; Basidiomycota; Agaricomycetes; Cantharellales; Hydnaceae. The record is from RNAcentral.